UGAGGAAUAUUGGUCAAUGGACGCAAGUCUGAACCAGCCAAUUAGCGUGCAGGAUGACGGCCCUAUGGGUUGUAAACUGCUUUUAUAUGGGGAUAAAGUGGGGAACGUGUUCCCUUUUGCAGGUACCAUAUGAAUAAGGACCGGCUAAUUCCGUGCCAGCAGCCGCGGUAAUACGGAAGGUUCGGGCGUUAUCCGGAUUUAUUGGGUUUAAAGGGAGCGUAGGCCGUUUGGUAAGCGUGUUGUGAAAUGUAGGAGCUCAACUUCUAGAUUGCAGCGAGAACUGUCAGACUUGAGUGCGCACAACGUAGGCGGAAUUCAUGGUGUAGCGGUGAAAUGCUUAGAUAUCAUGAAGAACUCCGAUUGCGAAGGCAGCUUACGGGAGCGCAACUGACGCUGAAGCUCGAAGGUGCGGGUAUCGAACAGG
RNAcentral lists this ribosomal RNA (424 nucleotides) under Verrucomicrobiota bacterium. Its description in RNAcentral is "Verrucomicrobia bacterium partial 16S ribosomal RNA". It matches the Rfam family "Bacterial small subunit ribosomal RNA", at positions 355 to 776 of the family's 1533-position model. Lineage: Bacteria; Pseudomonadati; Verrucomicrobiota. The record is from RNAcentral.